GCCAGACUCCUACGGGAGGCAGCAGUGGGGAAUAUUGGGCAAUGGAGGAAACUCUGACCCAGCAACGCCGCGUGAAGGAUGAAGGUUUUCGGAUUGUAAACUUCUGUCGCGAGGGACGAAGAAUGACGGUACCUCGUAAGAAAGCCCCGGCUAACUACGUGCCAGCAGCCGCGGUAAUACGGAGGGUGCGAGCGUUAAUCGGAAUUACUGGGCGUAAAGCGCUCGUAGGCGGUAUGUCAAGUCAAGGGUGAAAUCCCCGCGCUCAACGUGGGAACUGCCUUUGAAACUGGCAAACUGGAGUGUGUGAGAGGAUAGUGGAAUUCCAGGUGUAGGAGUGAAAUCCGUAGAUAUUUGGAGGAACAUCAGUGGCGAAGGCGACUAUCUGGCACAUAACUGACGCUGAGGAGCGAAAGCGUGGGUAGCAAACAGGAUUAGAUACCCGAGUA
Molecule: ribosomal RNA, 446 nt
Filed under: uncultured bacterium
Lineage: Bacteria
Description: bacterial SSU rRNA
Rfam family: Bacterial small subunit ribosomal RNA
Source: RNAcentral